UACGGCGGGGGCUAGCGUUGUUCGGAAUUACUGGGCGUAAAGCGCACGUAGGCGGGUCGCUAAGUCGGGGGUGAAAUCCUGGGGCUCAACCUCAGAACUGCCUUCGAUACUGGCGACCUUGCGUACGGGAGAGGUGAGUGGAAUUCCCAGUGUAUAGGUGAAAUUCGUAGAUAUUGGGAAGAACUCCAGUGGCGAAGGCGGCUCACUGGCCCGUAACUGACGCUGAGGUGCGAAAGCGUCGGGAGCAAACAGG
RNAcentral lists this ribosomal RNA (253 nucleotides) under uncultured bacterium. Its description in RNAcentral is "partial 16S ribosomal RNA". It matches the Rfam family "Bacterial small subunit ribosomal RNA", at positions 524 to 776 of the family's 1533-position model. The record is from RNAcentral.